RNAcentral lists this ribosomal RNA (450 nucleotides) under uncultured bacterium. RNAcentral describes it as "partial 16S ribosomal RNA". It matches the Rfam family "Bacterial small subunit ribosomal RNA", at positions 354 to 796 of the family's 1533-position model. The record is from RNAcentral.
GUGGGGAAUAUUGCACAAUGGGCGCAAGUCUGAUGCAGCCAUGCCGCGUGUAUGAAGAAGGCCUUCGGGUUGUAAAGUACUUUCAGCGAGGAGGAAGGCAUUAAGGUUAAUAACCUUAGUGAUUGACGUUACUCGCAGAAGAAGCACCGGCUAACUCCGUGCCAGCAGCCGCGGUAAUACGGAGGGUGCAAGCGUUAAUCGGAAUUACUGGGCGUAAAGCGCACGCAGGCGGUUUGUUAAGUCAGAUGUGAAAUCCCCGGGCUCAACCUGGGAACUGCAUUUGAAACUGGCAAGCUUGAGUCUCGUAGAGGGGGGUAGAAGUCCAGGUGUAGCGGUGAAAUGCGUAGAGAUCUGGAGGAAUACCGGUGGCGAAGGCGGCCCCCUGGACGAAGACUGACGCUCAGGUGCGAAAGCGUGGGGAGCAAACAGGAUUAGAUACCCUUGUAGUCC